GACGAACGCUGGCGGCGUGCUUAACACAUGCAAGUCGAGCGGUAAGGCCCUUUCGGGGUACACGAGCGGCGAACGGGUGAGUAACACGUGGGUGACCUGCCCUCAGCUCUGGGAUAAGCCUGGGAAACUGGGUCUAAUACUGGAUAUGACUCCACGGUGCAUGUCGUGGGGUGGAAAGCCUUGUGCGGCUGAGGAUGGGCCCGCGGCCUAUCAGCUUGUUGGUGGGGUGANGGCCUACCAAGGCGACGACGGGUAGCCGGCCUGAGAGGGCGACCGGCCACACUGGGACUGAGACACGGCCCAGACUCCUACGGGAGGCAGCAGUGGGGAAUCUUGCGCAAUGGGCGAAGCCUGACGCAGCGACGCCGCGCGAGGGAUGACGGCCUCGG
Molecule: ribosomal RNA, 389 nt
Filed under: uncultured bacterium
Lineage: Bacteria
Description: bacterial SSU rRNA
Rfam family: Bacterial small subunit ribosomal RNA
Source: RNAcentral